Condylostylus longicornis is the source of this 1688-nucleotide RNA transcript. It is a transcript of the gene named WD repeat domain-containing protein 83, with no coding region annotated. Lineage: Eukaryota; Metazoa; Arthropoda; Insecta; Diptera; Dolichopodidae. The transcript has 5 exons. The record is from RefSeq and is a predicted model, not a curated record.
UAUUAAUGUAAAUAAACUUUAAAUUUUCAAAAUAACAAAUUUAAGUUACACAUUAUUUUAAAACCUAUAAGAAUUAAAUUUUUCUAGUUUGUUGUUACUAAAAUGAGUUUUGCUCUAAAUGAAGGAUAUUUGAAUCUAAUUUGCUAUAAAACUAUAGAUUGUGUUCAAGGUUCUGUUAGAGCCGUUCGAUACAAUGUUGAUGGAAUCUACUGUUUAACUUGUGGUUCAGACAGAAAAAUUAAACUUUGGAACCCUAAAACAGCUUUAUUACUGAAAACUUAUGGAGGACAUGCAAGUGAAGUCACAGAUGCAAUGGGCAGCUGUGAUAGCUGUCAUAUUGUAUCUGCCAGUUUAGAUAAAUCUAUAAUAUAUUGGGAUGUAACUACAGGACAGCCCAUACGUCGAUGCCGUGUCCAUGCUGGUGGUGUAAAUUGUGUCCGUUUCAAUGAAGAUUCCUCAAUUGCCGUAUCUGGAUCAAAAGAUAAUUCAGUAAUGUGUUGGGAUAUUCGUACUCGAAAAAUUGAGCCCAUACAAACUAUGAAAGACGCUAAAGAUUGUGUUACAUCACUCAUCGUAAAUGAAUCACAAAUUAUAACAGCUUCCUUAGAUGGUUGCAUUCGUCGUUAUGAUAUAAGAAUGGGUGAAAUAGUUUGUGAUGAUAUUGGGAUUCCUAUUACUUAUAUUGUCGAAACUAAGGAUGGACAAUGCAUUAUUGCUGGUUGUUUAGAUGGAAGAGUUCGUUUGGUGGAUAACGAAACUGGUAAUGUAAUUCAAGAAUACGUAGGAAGAAAAAAUGACGAUUAUCAUAUUGAGUGUGAAAAGAUGUCAAAUGAUAAACAUGUAAUUUCUGGUUCAUCUGAAGGUUUAAUUUACGUAUGGGAUUUACUUAGUGGGAAAAUUUUGCAACAUUUAAAAGCCAAUAACAAUACUACUAAUUCUGUUAUUCAUUCAUUGACUACGCAUCCCUUGUUGAAUGAAGUAAUAUUUGCAAAAGGCCGUGAAAUACAUAUAUGUGGUUCAUCAGAGGAACAAUCAUUUUUAGAAUAACUGUUAAUAAUUUUUAUUUAACUUAAACUACUUAAUGGUUGCAUUAAAAAAUCUACGUUUAUGCAUACAAUGUACACACAUAAUAUGUAAAAAUAAAUUCUAGUUUCAGUAUUUUCUAGUGUUAGUUUAACAGAAUUGUAUCUACCAUGCAAAGAAAAUAAAUAUGUAUAUGUAUAUCACAUUUCUCGAGAAACCUAGUCGUUUAAAACAACCAAAAUUUUAAUAUAAGUAUGCAAAUUGCAACUAAAUAACAAAAAUCAAAAACUGAAACAUUUCGUAUACAUAAAUAAAUAAAUAAAUAAAUAUUUAUGUAUGUAUAUGGAAAAACGUAAUAGCAAAAAUUUAAACAUAAAUUUUCUAAUCUUUAUUUAUGAUAAGUAAUCAUCUUUAUGUAUGUGAUAUGAGGCAAGGCCAAAUUAAAAUAAUUUUGAAGAGAUUUUUUUCAGGGCCUGGACCCUUGGGGAACCUAUGUUUAAAAAAUUUUCGAAGCCAUUUCAACGGCAUAUGAUCAUUUUUGUGGAAUUUUUUUGAAGGUAACCUCAUACGGGAUGUAUCUAUUUCGAUGAGCCAAUAGCCAAAUCAGUCAAUUUGAAAUACCUGUUAUAAAUAAAAUGAACGCCAAAUACCAACGGUUGCCAUAG